AGAGCAGCGGCCAAGGCUGAGGAGAGAGCUGGGACUCGAGACCCUGCUCCACCCUGCUGGCUCUCGCUCGGCCCCAUUACCUGGCAAGCCCCGGCAUCCUUGACCCACGUCCGUGGCGCUGCCUGGGUAGGAACGCGCCUGAAGACCGCGCAGGACACUACCACUGGGCAUCCUGGGUUUGAUGCAGACAUCCUGCACUACAUUCCAGAUCUGAUGAGGCAUGGCUGCCCCAGGAUUACUGGGCUCGGACGGGAGCAGUGGUAGGAAGGAUCCUAUAUAAGUCAUGUGAGACAUAGAAUGUUCAGAUCAACUGAAGCUGAAACAAGCCUUUGGCAUCAUAUAUAACCCAGAAAGGGACAAAGCUGGUUCCUUGAAUGCUUGGUUUAUGUGCCUGGCUGGAGGAGACACCCAUGGCCUUGCAGAGGGAGCGUUCUGGUGGGAAAGCAGACACAACCCACCCUAGGCCCGUGGUUUCCCUGCAAGAAGCCCAGUGGCUUUCUGGAGGACACUUUUCCUGGAGGAAGUGACUCAAGAGCAGCAUAAGCCAGGCUCUAUGGAAUGUUGGGUGAGCUGCUUGAGGAACUCCAAGGCCUGUCCCACAGUCUUCCAGCCUCCGACUCUCCGGCCCUCAGCGAGGAAGUCCCACUGGUUUUUUUGGUUGGUUUUUUUUUUUUUUUUUAAGGUUUUUUGGUUUUUUUUUUUUUUUCUCAUUCCUGUCUUGGGAGCUUUCCCCAACCAGGAGAGUGAAGAUGGGCGGAGCUGUCACACCAACUGUUAGCCUGCCUUGGCUGAGAGGAGAGGAGGCGAGGAGGGAGCGACCACCCAGCUUUAGUCGUUUUAAAACAGCUCCUGACCCUAGAAGAAGGGAAAUGGAGAUGAAGACCCAAUUGACUUGGUAUGAAGUUUAAAUGCCCCUUCAAGACUUGGGGGUCGAGGACGGUGAGAUUGGCUCAGUGGAUAGAUUCACUUGCCUCUAAGCCUGACAACCUAAGUUAAUAUCCUCUACCCACAUAUGGAAGGAAAAAAAUGAUUUCCAAAAGUUGUCCUCUGACCUCCACACAGAGACCAUGGCCUGUGCACCACCCCCCGAAAAUGUAAUAUAUUUUUUAAAAAGACAUGGGGACUUCCAUUCAGUGUCUCCCAAUGUUUGGGGAUUUCCUUUCCUUAUUUCCUUACUCCCUGUCGGUGCCCUAGAGGAGACAGAGAGAGUCUAACUACGGAGAGGUCAUUCUCUAGGUUGGUUGGUGGAAUAUUCAGGACUCCUGGGAAGGCUCCAACUGGUCCCUGAGAGUCCCAGUUUCCUCUAUCACACAGCAGAAGGUGGGGAAUGGCUGCCGUGGUUGGAAGAGCGCGUUGGUGCUGAGGGGGCCAGCUGGUUGAGAAGCAGGUGGAGAGGGAAAGGACCCUGCUUAAGAGGGGGCUGGGUGGGAAGGCUGGGUAAUUUAUGAUAUCAUUGUUCCCGCCCCUCUUCCCAGCCCCCUGCCACUUUACUGUUGCUAGGAGAUCCUGGCUGGCCCUGUCAAAUGGAAAACUCCUCCUCAGCCAGAGUAGGCCCUACCCUGAGUCACAACAGACCCUAAACACACCAGUGUCUCCUAUGAAUCCAUUCAGGUUCAGCCAGCUUGGGCGUGGGACUACCUGACCGAGCAAGUGCUUGUGUGUGUGUGUGUGUGUGUGUGUGUGUGUGUGUGUGUGUGUGUGUGUGUGUGUGAUAUGGAGGGAGCCAGGAGAUAGACUUUGAGGAUGGAGGAGCACUCUGAGGGCCUGCAGGUGACCCUGGGAACCAAGCCUGGGAAGAACCUAAGUUAAUAAUGCAAUCUUUAUCUUAGAGAGAGUGAUCUUUCAGCAGACUGAUCGAACACACAGGCUUCUCAGCCCACUCCCUCCAGUCAAGGUUAAGGCCUGGCAAAGGUGGAGGAAGAGAAGCUGAGGAGAAAAAGGCGAGGAGAGCCUAGGCACAGGAAGGUGACCGUGAGUAGAGUUGGGUGGUCCAGGGAUGUGGCUGGGAUCCCCUCUUCCUUCUGGAGUUCUCUUAGACAGUAAGGCUGAAGAGAAGCUUGGUACAGGAACUUCGAAGGUUUCUCAAGCUGCAGGUCAUGGCUACCUGUGUUUCUUAGCACUGGCCUUGACUUGGCUACCACAGGCUUUUGUCUCAGUUUAUCUGCCCUGGCUGAAACCCAAAUGAUCCUGUCUCCAGCUCCAUAAGAGCAAUCAGAGGUCCCCCAAAAUCUCUGUCUGCUCCCUAGAGUCAUGGGCUGCUUCUUGUUCUGUGCUCCACACAGGCUUCCCUCCCUCCCAGUGCUGAUUUCCUGUGGACCAGAUUCCAGCACAGUGGAGGGCCAGAGCUCAGGGAACAGACCCAGCAGCACAGCAAGUCUCCAAGGAAAGCUCUAGCAGUCUCCAGGGGCUGAAGGCAGGACUGGGGAAGCGGCUAGCCAGGCUGCAGAAGGCAAAUGCUCCCAGACGGCUGUCCAGCACGCAUCCGCCUUCCUAGCCAAGUUUCCUGGGCUCCUGCCACAGAUCUAAGCCUCAUCCUGACAUCCUGCCCUCUGUGCUCUGGGAUGGCCCAGGGGAGAUGCUUAGCCUUGGCUCCUUGUCUGCUGGUGGAGGGGACACACACCCUUUCUGGACCACAGACCAAAAAGAAGACCUGACGUCAUCCUGAGCACCCCCGCCAUGCAGAGUGUGUUCGCAGACUGCCAACGGGCUGGCUCCGGCCAGCAGAAGUGAACAGAGGUGGAGGUUCAGCCUGACAGCUUCUCCCCAAAGCCAUGGAGAGAAAACCUUACCACCCCCACCGCCCAGCUACUUCCAGCAAGUUGUCCAGCCUGACCCCUCUAUUUCCCCUGUUGUCUCUUAUCUGGGUCCCUGAGACCCACCCCAUCUCCAAUAAAGAACAUUGCAUACUGUGCA
This 2913-nucleotide long non-coding RNA is filed under the name Mus musculus (house mouse). RNAcentral describes it as "predicted gene 3764". Lineage: Eukaryota; Metazoa; Chordata; Mammalia; Rodentia; Muridae. The record is from RNAcentral.